This 1888-nucleotide long non-coding RNA is filed under the name Anser brachyrhynchus (Pink-footed goose). Its description in RNAcentral is "lncRNA (ENSABRG00000002272.1)". The record is from RNAcentral. Lineage: Eukaryota; Metazoa; Chordata; Aves; Anseriformes; Anatidae.
AAAAACCACAGCAAUAAAACAACAAAACACAAAACCCACAGAUGAAAUAAAUAAUAAUAGCAACCAACCAACCUGCUUGGAGUAUGGCUGAGAAGGCAGAGUGUUGUUUACAUUAACAUAAGCUGCUCACUAGAUAUUAAAUUUCAGGAGCUUGAAUGAUUGGUGAGAUACCUAGGGGUCUAACUAAAAUCCUGGUAAAAGGACCUUGAUAGCUAUGCAGGGAGCUCUGAUGUAUGGUGACUGACAUGAUUGUCAGCGUUGUUGUGUGAUGUAAAGGCGGUAGGGCUUUUUACUAAGUAUUUGACCUCCUGGAGCAUGACAAGUCAUAGGCCCCUCCUCAUUCACACUUCUAACGUGUGAAAUAAGUAACGCCUGGCAAUGGUUCUGCUGCUGGGAUAUAGCAUUUCCUUAGUCUCUCGUCUGGGUCUUAGAAGGUGAGUGCAAAAGUCUUCAGAAAUGCUUUCACUGAAUAUUUACUGCCUGGAAACAUGCGCUAGGCAGGAAGAUGAAUGCGUUUCAAGAAGUGGUGGUGGUCAGAACCUUUGAAUGUGAAGAGGAGGAGGCAUUGGCUAUCUGGGAGGAAGGGGGAUCUGUUACGUUGGUUGAAAAGUAACAUAUAAAUUGAGCAGUCUGUUCAGAUGUACAGAGCAAAUGGUCACAGGGAGAGAGGGGCCAAGGAAGCUGAUCCUGAGAGGAAAAUGAAAGCAAUACUCCAGGAGAGGGUGUUGUCUGAGAAUCGUCUUGAAUCCAGAGGCCUGUAGAUGGCAAUCUUGCGCUGCAUUGGAGAAGCAAUCAUUGGAGAAGCAAUUCCCAACAUCCUGCACAGCUCCUGGAAAGAGAAAGCUUUGUUAGUCACCAGAUGAGGCUGACCAGAGAGUGUCAUACAACAGCACGGGAAACAAGUUGGAGUUGGAGCUUCUGCUGGGAAGGCCACCUGACCUGGAGCUGGGACGUCCUCACACCUAUCAGAAGUCCCAACGAUCAAAACACUGACCAGUUUAGAGAGAUAACUGGAAGCCUGGUGUUUGGAGAGAGAAAAUAGCUGAAGAUGAAGCACUGUGGGCAGUUCUGAUUACAGACAAAGCAAGAAAGGCUGUGUACUUCCAGCCCCCUAUGAUUCUAAAGAGCUCUGUUAAAUAACAGACUGCACCGUCUCCAUCAAAGAUCCAUGAAGGUGAAUGCUUCACUGCCAGAAAUACUUAUUUAUAUAUGUGUAUUCUGAACCAUAAAGAGAACUAGGGCUUAUUACAGUCUUGCUUUAAUUUUUGAACAGCUAGGUGGUGCUGCUCGAAUAUUUAGUAUGUAUUUACUGUUUAAUUUUAGUAUCAUAAUGUUAAGUCAAAGAUCAAGACUCAGAUGUAUGAGAUACAGAGAAAAUGCAAAUUUGCUGCAUGUCCCAAAUGGAUUACAAUGGAAGUAAAAGGGUACACGUUCUCUGCACUUCACCUACUUCUUCAUUCUGUUGAGCCUGAUAAAGCCACAGCUGUAUUGUUUCCAAUACUCAAAUGAACUAAUUAAAAAUUAGUAGGUUUUUUUUUGUGUGUGUAAUACUCUGUGAUGUAGUCACACGUGUGAAAGUGAUGAUGAUGGAGAGAGACCAAGAGGUGUCAGUGAGCUCGGCCAGAAUAGGAGGCAAUGAGCAGACAAAGCUGCUGAGCUGUUCUUUGAAUGGUCACAGCAAAAGGGGGUUAUAAAUAGGAUGUAAUAGGCAAUGUAAGACAGUGAAAUAGGCAAUGUAAGACACAAUGGGAGCAAGGUUUGGAGAAAUACCUCCAUUGAGCAAUGUAAGAAAUGGGUUCAUGUGUUGAUAUUAAGGCCAGUUGGAAAUUGCUUUUCUGUCUUUUUUUUUAUUUUAUUUUUUAGAAAUAAAUGAAAAAUAACAAGAACA